Molecule: ribosomal RNA, 253 nt
Filed under: uncultured bacterium
Lineage: Bacteria
Description: partial 16S ribosomal RNA
Rfam family: Bacterial small subunit ribosomal RNA
Source: RNAcentral
UACAGAGGUCCCAAGCGUUGUUCGGAUUCAUUGGGCGUAAAGGGUGCGUAGGUGGCGCCGUAAGUCAGGUGUGAAAUCUCGGGGCUUAACUCCGAAACUGCAUUUGAUACUGCGGUGCUUGAGGACUGGAGGGGAGACUGGAAUUUACGGUGUAGCAGUGAAAUGCGUAGAGAUCGUAAGGAAGACCAGUGGCGAAGGCGGGUCUCUGGACAGUUCCUGACACUGAGGCACGAAGGCCAGGGGAGCAAACGGG